This 372-nucleotide ribosomal RNA is filed under the name uncultured organism. RNAcentral's name for it is "bacterial SSU rRNA". It matches the Rfam family "Bacterial small subunit ribosomal RNA", at positions 526 to 896 of the family's 1533-position model. The record is from RNAcentral.
CGGGGGGGGCAAGCGUUGUUCGGAAUUACUGGGCGUAAAGGGCUCGUAGGCGGCCAACUAAGUCAGACGUGAAAUCCCUCGGCUUAACCGGGGAACUGCGUCUGAUACUGGAUGGCUUGAGUUUGGGAGAGGGAUGCGGAAUUCCAGGUGUAGCGGUGAAAUGCGUAGAUAUCUGGAGGAACACCGGUGGCGAAGGCGGCAUCCUGGACCAACACUGACGCUGAGGAGCGAAAGCCAGGGGAGCAAACGGGAUUAGAUACCCCGGUAGUCCUGGCCCUAAACGAUGAAUGCUUGGUGUGGCGGGUAUCGAUCCCUGCCGUGCCGAAGCUAACGCAUUAAGCAUUCCGCCUGGGGAGUACGGUCGCAAGGCUG